CUCGCUUAUUCGCCGCGCAUCGAUUUAGUGGUCGCCAACUAGGGGCGGUAAAUAAGUUCAAGGUGUACGCGCAUUCCUGGACGAGAAUAACCGAAGCAUUGGCCGCGUCUCUUCUGCGAUGCCAACUUGUCUGAAUGGCGCAUCCGAAAUAAGAAGGGAUUGUAAGAUUUGAUUUAACGGACACGUGCACGCGAAUAUGGCGUUAUUUAGUACCGGUAGCGUCGAAUUACGCGCGACGAAGGGCAGGAGAAAGGACAGUAUUUAAAGUUCAACAUUACAGGCACCAUUUUUCGCGAGACCACCGAGGAAGAGAAGACCUCGUACACCUGUCUUUCUCCCCGGUCCAUUCAUUUUUUAUCCAAGGAGGGGCGAGACGCUUCCCAGUUUCACCUGUUUGCCUCUUGACAACUCAAGCAAUAGUAGCCACGGGGCAGGAACGAAGACCUAAUUUUGCCCCGUGGUCGUUUAUCCGGUUCUGCCUGAGGUGCCUUCCAUCUUUUCAUCCAAAUGGGACUCGGUCGGGGUGCACACGUUGACUUUCCACCACCACAUGGAAGAAGCGCAACGAACUACGCGGGAUGAUCCUUGAGAAGAUCCCACGCGGACCUCUCUGUCGGCGUCACUCAUGGAGGAUAUCCCCGUCGUGAUGCAACGGAAGGCUCCUCGGCUCCCAGCACACUUCACACCUGAUCCUAAUCGCGGUGAAAUGACCCGGUG
Molecule: long non-coding RNA, 717 nt
Organism: Orussus abietinus
Lineage: Eukaryota; Metazoa; Arthropoda; Insecta; Hymenoptera; Orussidae
Exons: 3
Source: RefSeq, a predicted model, not a curated record